CCUACGGGAGGCAGCAGUGAGGAAUAUUGGUCAAUGGACGAGAGUCUGAACCAGCCAAGUAGCGUGAAGGAUGACUGCCCUAUGGGUUGUAAACUUCUUUUAUAAAGGAAUAAAACGAGGCACGUGUGCCUUUUUGCAUGUACUUUAUGAAUAAGGAUCGGCUAACUCCGUGCCAGCAGCCGCGGUAAUACGGAGGAUCCGAGCGUUAUCCGGAUUUAUUGGGUUUAAAGGGAGCGUAGAUGGGUUGUUAAGUCAGUUGUGAAAGUUUGCGGCUCAACCGUAAAAUUGCAAUUGAUACUGGCAGUCUGGAGUACAGUGGAGGGAGGCGGAAGUCGGUGUGUAUCGGUGAAAUGCUUAGAUAUCACGAAGAACCCCGAGUGCGAAGGAAGCUUACUAAACUGUGACUGACAUUGAUGCUCGAAAGUGUGGGUAUCAAACAGGAUUAGAUACCCCUGUAGUC
RNAcentral lists this ribosomal RNA (460 nucleotides) under uncultured bacterium. RNAcentral describes it as "partial 16S ribosomal RNA". It matches the Rfam family "Bacterial small subunit ribosomal RNA", at positions 338 to 795 of the family's 1533-position model. The record is from RNAcentral.